This 816-nucleotide ribosomal RNA is filed under the name Triticum aestivum (bread wheat). RNAcentral describes it as "partial small subunit ribosomal RNA". The record is from RNAcentral. Lineage: Eukaryota; Viridiplantae; Streptophyta; Magnoliopsida; Poales; Poaceae.
AUGGGAAAGAUAACUAAAACUCCGUUAUUCGGAACAAUGGAGCGAGCUAAUAACUUAUUGGAAAUAAUACGUACCGAUGAAUGUGGUCCGAUGAGUGUUGAAGCACGCGGCGAGUAUCGUUAUUUUCUCACCUUCACUGAUGAUUUUAGUAGAUAUGGAUAUAUCUACUUGAUGAAACACAAGUCCGAAACAUUUGAAAAGUUCAAAGAAUUUCAGAGUGAAGUGGAGGGUCGUAGUAACAAGAAAAUAAAGUUUGUACGAUCUGAUCGUGGACGCGAAUAUUUGAGUUAUGAGUUUGGCCUUCAUUUAAAACAAUGUGGAAUUGUUUCACAACUCACACCACCUGGAACACCACAGCGUAAUGGUGUGUUUGAACGUCGUAACCGCACUUUAUUAGAUAUGGUGCGAUAUGUGAUGUCUCUAACCAAUUUACCACUAUCGUUUUGGGGUUAUGCAUUAGAGACAGCCGCAUUCACGUUAAAUAGGGCACCGUCUAAAUCUGUUGAGACGACAUCGAAUGAACUUUGGUUUAGCAAGAAACCUAAGCCGUCGUUUCUUGAAAUUUGGGGUUGCGACACUUAUGUCAAAAGGCUUCAGCCAGAUAAGAUUGAACCCAAAUCAGAGAAGUGCGUCUUCAUAGGAUACCCUAAGGAAACAAUUGGGUACACCUUCCAUCACAGAUCCGAAGGCAAAAUCUUUGUUGCUAAGAAUGAGUCAUUUUUAGAGAAGGAGUUUCUCUCGAAAGAAGUGAGUGGGAGGAAAGUAGAACUUGAUGAGGUAAAUGUACCUUCUCUCGAAUUGGAAAGUAGUACAUGA